RNAcentral lists this ribosomal RNA (433 nucleotides) under uncultured bacterium. Its description in RNAcentral is "partial 16S ribosomal RNA". It matches the Rfam family "Bacterial small subunit ribosomal RNA", at positions 29 to 507 of the family's 1533-position model. The record is from RNAcentral.
AACGAACGCUGGCGGCAUGCCUAACACAUGCAAGUCGAACGAGACCUUCGGGUCUAGUGGCGCUCGGGUGCGUAACGCGUGGGAACCUGCCCUUAGGUUCGGUAUAACUCACCGAAGGGGGUGUUAAUACCGGAUAAUGUCUUCGGACCAAAGAUUUAUCGCCUCUGGCUGGGGCCGUGUUGGAUUCGCUAGUUGGUAGGGUAAUAGCCUACCAAGGGGACGAUCCAUGGCUGGUCGGGGAGGAGGACCAGCCACACUGGGACUGAGACACGGCCCAGACUCCUACGGGAGGCAGCGGUGUGGAAUAUUGGACAAUGAGCGAAAGUCUGAUCCAGCAAUGCCGCGUGAGUGAGGAAUGCCUUAGUGUUGUAAAUCUCUCUUACCCGGGGUGAGAAUGACAGUACCGGGAGAAUAAGCUCCGGCUAACUCCGUG